GGGAAGCAGAGAAGCCCAAAGAGGGAGGACCAGAAGGGAUACUGCUAAUGUCUUCGGAUAGGUGAGGCUUCCCAGGUGGCUGCUCCCUCUUAAUACUGAGCUCAGCAAACACCAAUAAGAAGUUCUGCAGCUGAAAGGGAAGGAUCCUGCCCAGGCCAUUGCCCGUUCAAGGGACAGAGAAGUUCUUGCUCCAGCCCAUGGUCACUACACAGCAUCAGUGCAGUAUCUUUGUGUCUAAACCAGUAGCCCCCUCUUCUGACAGACUCCUGCCAUCAGUGUGAUUGGUCUUUGUUCAGAGUUCUUUCUGAAUUCUUUUCUCAGCAGGAACUGUGGGACCUUGCUACUCAUGGGAGUGAUGUCUUCACACUCAGAGUGAGGCAGACCCUUCUGGCUCCAUGUUCCACCACACUCAACAAGGAACCCAAAGUCUUGUGAAGUAGAGAACUGUACAAAAGUUAGUGUUGUCCGGAGCAAAGCAAAGCCAUAAAGUUGGAGGCAAAAGAAUGUGCAACUAUGCAUGAGCAGCAU
RNAcentral lists this long non-coding RNA (528 nucleotides) under Numida meleagris (helmeted guineafowl). RNAcentral describes it as "lncRNA (ENSNMEG00000007558.1)". The record is from RNAcentral. Lineage: Eukaryota; Metazoa; Chordata; Aves; Galliformes; Numididae.